CCGGCGUCUUAAUGGAAAAGGUAGAAGGAAACUAUUCGUUGAGGCUUUAAAUUUAAGUUUAUCGCGGGAUUUUUAACGACAUUCACCGGUUUCGUAAAGCGGUCGUUUGUUUUGGCGCAAUGCGGAAGUGUCGUCUUGAUGCAGUUUUUUGGCUUAAAAGUUGACGAAUUCUUCGUCUCACAACGUCUGUCAUUUGUUUUACGUUUGCCAUCAGUUUUAGGCAGUAACUGUUAGCUGUUGAGAGUACCGGAACAGACUGUGAAGUAUUUCUAUAGAUCUAAAUAUGGUUCGUAAAAAAGGACAUUUUGUCUGGCAUUCGGAAUUCCUACACUAGUGAUCCAUGAGGACUUUAUCCAGUUUCCAGAAUGGCAGGAAGGAAGGACUUAUUGAAUUGGACCACUUGACAAGGCAGCUUACAAAAGUCAGAAAUUUAAAAGCAGCCACUGGGGGACAGUAAAUUAAAGCUUGUCUACAUUUUCCAUAAAAUUUCCAAAAUAAAUACUGGAAAAAAAACAACAUGGAAAUACAUACGACAUCAACACAAAAUAGCACAGCACCAGAAUGAAUGCGGAAGUUGUCAUGAGUGGUGUGGCAUUGUUCCUGUUCAUUUAUGGUUUACAGAUUCCAAAAGUGUGAACCAGAUAUGAGUAGAGUACAGUUUGAGAAAUGUCUUGGUAGAACAGAUACUAAGGAAAUAAUAAAGAGCAGAACAGACCACAUUUCUCCUUCUUAUAACUGGUAAAGUUCGAAGUAAGGGCGAGUACAAUAAUGCAGCCCCAGUGAGAGUUCGUGAUGAGGUGUCAACUGUAAAUGUGUGGUCGUUAAAUGAUGUGCAGUCAGAUUGACAAGUAUUUGAAGUAACAUUAAUUUAUAAAUUAUCAAUUCUGAGAGAAAUUUUUGCUGAGCUUUGUGCAGGAUACUCUUAAAAAAUACGUGAACCAGAAUUUUAUAUUAUAAGUACAAUGUCAGAUGUACUCCAGACUUCACACAUAUAUGUUGAUGUUUAUACAUAUGUGGUGAUUAAUUUGUCAAGUGAAGAAAUUUUAUGAAUGUUAGUGGGUGACAGAACAGAAUUACAAAGUCAAUUACAGAGGUCGACAACACUGAGUUUAGGAUGCAGAAAAAAUCCGGUGAUUCUGACGAAACAACAUACAUAGAAAGAUUAUACUAGUAAAAUGAAAACUUUUAGUGUAUGGAAAAGUUUGGAAGCAGGUUUACCAUUGACAGAAGAGACAGUAUUUACAGACUGGUCUACACUUAUUUUGAUUUGACUUUUACACGGUGAUUCCUCCAGUAAACAGCUAGUGAUCUGAGAGAAUUGUGUUCAUUAUAUCAUACAGGUUUAGAGUGAAUGUAAACUUAAUGUGUAUUUAAAUCAAUCAAAAUUUUUCAAAAUUGGAUGUUGAAACUUUACAACUGUUUAGUAUUUCAGUAAUCAGUUAGGAUUUUUGAGUGAUUUCAAUAAAGUACAAAUUAAAAAAAAAAAGAAUCACUAUCAGCCAAGUUGAUGUGCUAUUGUAAAAGAUAGAAAGAAAAUUCACAAGUCACAUUAACUUGGUAAAAGGGAUUUUAACAGAAUUAAACUAUAAUUGGUGAAGGAAUCUGCAUGUUGUAUCAAAUAGCUAUAAUGUAUUUUGUAGUUCUUUGGAUGUAUCUUCUAUCUAUCUCUUUUCAAACUAAAUUCUGUCUCUUAAAUCUAUUGAAAUUGCCAUCAAAAUAAAAAUUUCUUUUAAAAACAAUAUAUUUAACAAUUAAAAGGUAUAUUCAACAAGCCAGUACUUUGUUACUAAUCUUAGUCAAUGGAAUUUAUUUUUAGACUCGCUCUAUUUUUUUUAAUUCAGUUUCUGGAUCCCCAUUUAUUAGUUACUGUACACAUUUUGGGAUUCCAGCAAUUUUCCACAUCCUCAUUACAAGGUAGUAUUGAUUUUUCACUGGUCCAGUGGUUAACUAAUUUUAGCAUAAAGUAAAACUGUUCUAUUAAUAGAUUUUCAGAAAAUAUGUUUGAGUUAUUUAUACCCAGUAUACAAAUUCAUGUACUUUUAUUUGAUUUGAACAUUACUGUUUAAUAUUAUCCUGAACAAAUUACAGGUUUUCUUUGCUUUAUAUUAGAGAAUUUUGGUAAAUUUCGUUGAUGAAAGGUCCAAGGUACUUUUCUCAAAUAGUCAAUUAAUAGAAAUUUUCAAAUAUAAUAUCUUGUGCAGUGAAUUAAAAAGAAAUUUAUUUAUUUCA
This is a long non-coding RNA of Mercenaria mercenaria, 2229 nucleotides long. RefSeq lists it as uncharacterized. The record is from RefSeq and is a predicted model, not a curated record. The transcript is spliced from 2 exons. Lineage: Eukaryota; Metazoa; Mollusca; Bivalvia; Venerida; Veneridae.